GUCCACGCCGUAACGAUGAAUGCUAGGUGUUAGGGUUUCGAUACCCUUGGUGCCGAAGUUAACACAUUAAGCAUUCCGCCUGGGGAGUACGGCCGCAAGGCUGAAACUCAAAGGAAUUGACGGGACCCGCACAAGCAGUGGAGUAUGUGGUUUAAUUCGAAGCAACGCGAAGAACCUUACCAGGUCUUGACAUCCCCCUGACCGGUACAGAGAUGUACCUUUCCUUCGGGACAGGGGAGACAGGUGGUGCAUGGUUGUCGU
RNAcentral lists this ribosomal RNA (261 nucleotides) under uncultured bacterium. RNAcentral's name for it is "partial 16S ribosomal RNA". It matches the Rfam family "Bacterial small subunit ribosomal RNA", at positions 793 to 1055 of the family's 1533-position model. The record is from RNAcentral.